AGCGAACGUUAGCGGCGGGCCUAACACAUGCAAGUCGAACGAGAAUGAGGGGGCAACCCCUCUAGUAAAGUGGCGGACGGGUGCGUAACACGUGGGUAAUCUACCUUCCCGGCGGGGGACAACAGUCCGAAAGGAUUGCUAAUACCGCAUACGUCGACGGGGUCUCCGGAUCCUGUCGGGAAAGAUGGCCUCUCCUUGGAAGCUGUCACCGGAAGAUGAACCCGCGGCCCAUCAGCUAGUUGGCGAGGUAACGGCUCACCAAGGCUAAGACGGGUAGCUGGUCUGAGAGGAUGAUCAGCCACACUGGGACUGCGACACGGCCCAGACUCCUACGGGAGGCAGCAGUGGGGAAUAUUGGGCAAUGGGCGCAAGCCUGACCCAGCCACGCCGCGUGAGUGAUGAAGGCCUUCGGGUCGUAAAGCUCUGUGGGGAGGGACGAACAAGCCUGCGAUUAACACUCGCGGGCCCUGCCG
This 473-nucleotide ribosomal RNA is filed under the name uncultured Myxococcales bacterium. RNAcentral's name for it is "bacterial SSU rRNA". It matches the Rfam family "Bacterial small subunit ribosomal RNA", at positions 29 to 474 of the family's 1533-position model. Lineage: Bacteria; Pseudomonadati; Myxococcota; Myxococcia; Myxococcales. The record is from RNAcentral.